RNAcentral lists this ribosomal RNA (493 nucleotides) under uncultured bacterium. Its description in RNAcentral is "bacterial SSU rRNA". It matches the Rfam family "Bacterial small subunit ribosomal RNA", at positions 28 to 533 of the family's 1533-position model. The record is from RNAcentral.
GACGAACGCUGGCGGCGUGCCUGACACAUGCAAGUCGGACGGUUCUUGUACCUUCAAGCUUGCUUGUUGGUGCAAGGAUAGUGGCGGACGGGUGAGUAACGCGUGAACAUCUACCCAUUGGAGGGGGACAACCCGUCGAAAGGCGGGCUAAUACCGCGUAAGCCGCGAGGUGAGAGGCUGCCUAUUGGUGGCCGCCGAUGGAUGGGUUCGCGUCCUAUCAGCUGGUUGGUGGGGUAACGGCCUACCAAGGCGAAGACGGGUAGCCGGUCUGAGAGGAUGGCCGGCCACACUGGAACUGAGACACGGUCCAGACUCCUACGGGAGGCAGCAGUGGGGAAUAUUGCGCAAUGGGGGGAACCCUGACGCAGCAACGCCGCGUGGAGGAAGAAGGUCUUCGGAUUGUAAACUCCUGUCUUCUGGGACGAAUAAUGACGGUACCAGAGGAGGAAGCCACGGCUAACUACGUGCCAGCAGCGCGGUAAGCACGAGAGUA